Molecule: microRNA precursor, 85 nt
Filed under: Mesocricetus auratus (golden hamster)
Lineage: Eukaryota; Metazoa; Chordata; Mammalia; Rodentia; Cricetidae
Description: miRNA (ENSMAUG00000003717.1)
Source: RNAcentral
CCUGGCAUACAAUAGGUCCUCAAUAAGGACUUGUUGCAUGCAGUUUGUCAUAGACAACCCACUCAUUUCUGACCUCUGACUGGUG